RNAcentral lists this ribosomal RNA (752 nucleotides) under uncultured bacterium. RNAcentral describes it as "bacterial SSU rRNA". It matches the Rfam family "Bacterial small subunit ribosomal RNA", at positions 96 to 850 of the family's 1533-position model. The record is from RNAcentral.
UGGCGGACGGGUGAGUAAUGCAUAGGAAUCUGCCCGAUAGUGGGGGAUAAUCUUGGGAAACCCAGGCUAAUACCGCAUACGUCCUACGGGAGAAAGGGGGCUCCGGCUCCCGCUAUCGGAUGAGCCUAUGUCGGAUUAGCUGGUUGGUGAGGUAAAGGCUCACCAAGGCGACGAUCCGUAGCUGGUCUGAGAGGAUGAUCAGCCACAUCGGGACUGAGACACGGCCCGAACUCCUACGGGAGGCAGCAGUGGGGAAUAUUGGACAAUGGGGGCAACCCUGAUCCAGCCAUGCCGCGUGUGUGAAGAAGGCCCUCGGGUUGUAAAGCACUUUCAGUGAGGAAGAACGCCUGGUGGUUAAUACCCAUCAGGAAAGACAUCACUCACAGAAGAAGCACCGGCUAACUCCGUGCCAGCAGCCGCGGUAAUACGGAGGGUGCGAGCGUUAAUCGGAAUUACUGGGCGUAAAGCGCGCGUAGGUGGCUUGAUAAGCCGGUUGUGAAAGCCCCGGGCUCAACCUGGGAACGGCAUCCGGAACUGUCAAGCUAGAGUGCAGGAGAGGAAGGUAGAAUUCCCGGUGUAGCGGUGAAAUGCGUAGAGAUCGGGAGGAAUACCAGUGGCGAAGGCGGCCUUCUGGACUGACACUGACACUGAGGUGCGAAAGCGUGGGUAGCAAACAGGAUUAGAUACCCUGGUAGUCCACGCCGUAAACGAUGUCGACCAGCCGUUGGGUGCCUAGCGCACUUUGUGGCGAA